UGCGCGGGAGCAUCCUGGCGGCGAGUGGCGAACGGGUGAGUAAUACAUCGGAACGUGCCCAAUCGUGGGGGAUAACGCAGCGAAAGCUGUGCUAAUACCGCAUACGAUCUACGGAUGAAAGCAGGGGAUCGCAAGACCUUGCGCGAAUGGAGCGGCCGAUGGCAGAUUAGGUAGUUGGUGAGGUAAAGGCUCACCAAGCCUUCGAUCUGUAGCUGGUCUGAGAGGACGACCAGCCACACUGGGACUGAGACACGGCCCAGACUCCUACGGGAGGCAGCAGUGGGGAAUUUUGGACAAUGGGCGCAAGCCUGAUCCAGCCAUGCCGCGUGCAGGAUGAAGGCCUUCGGGUUGUAAACUGCUUUUGUACGGAACGAAACGGCCUUUUCUAAUAAAGAGGGCUAAUGACGGUACCGUAAGAAUAAGCACCGGCUAACUACGUGCCAGCAGCCGCGGUAAUACGUAGGGUGCAAGCGUUAAUCGGAAUUACUGGGCGUAAAGCGUGCGCAGGCGGUUAUGUAAGACAGUUGUGAAAUCCCCGGGCUCAACCUGGGAACUGCAUCUGUGACUGCAUAGCUAGAGUACGGUAGAGGGGGAUGGAAUUCCGCGUGUAGCAGUGAAAUGCGUAGAUAUGCGGAAGAACACCGAUGGCGAAGGCAAUCCCCCUGGACCUGUACUGACGCCCAUGCACGAAAGCGUGGGGAGCAAACAGGAUUAGAUACCCUGGUAGUCCACGCCCUAAACGAUGUCAACUGGUUGUUGGGAAUUCACUUUCUCAGUAACGAAGCUAACGCGUGAAGUUGACCGCCUGGGGAGUACGGCCGCAAGGUUGANACUCAAAGGAAUUGACGGGGACCCGCACAAGCGGUGGAUGAUGUGGUUUAAUUCGAUGCAACGCGAAAAACCUUACCCACCUUUGACAUGUACGGAAUUCGCCAGAGAUGGCUUAGUGCUCGAAAGAGAACCGUAACACAGGUGCUGCAUGGCUGUCGUCAGCUCGUGUCGUGAGAUGUUGGGUUAAGUCCCGCAACGAGCGCAACCCUUGUCAUUAGUUGCUACAUUUAGUUGGGCACUCUAAUGAGACUGCCGGUGACAAACCGGAGGAAGGUGGGGAUGACGUCAAGUCCUCAUGGCCCUUAUAGGUGGGGCUACACACGUCAUACAAUGGCUGGUACAAAGGGUUGCCAACCCGCGAGGGGGAGCUAAUCCCAUNAAACCAGUCGUAGUCCGGAUCGCAGUCUGCAACUCGACUGCGUGAAGUCGGAAUCGCUAGUAAUCGUGGAUCAGAAUGUCACGGUGAAUACGUUCCCGGAAUCCCUGGACCUGUACUGACGCUCAUGCACGAAAGCGUGGGGAGCAAACAGGAUUAGAUACCCUGGUAGUCCACGCCCUUAGCGAUGUCACUGGACUGGUAGUCGUACCAUUCGACUUUCUGCAGUAACGAAGCUAACGCGUGAAGUUGACUCCGCCUGCGGGAGUACGGCCGCAAGGUUGAUACUCAAAGGNAUUGACGGGGACCCGCACAAGCGGUGGAUGAUGUGGUUUAAUUCGAUGCAACGCGAAAAACCUUACCCACCUUUGACAUGUACGGAAUUCGCCAGAGAUGGCUUAGUGCUCGAAAGAGAACCGUAACACAGGUGCUGCAUGGCUGUCGUCAGCUCGUGUCGUGAGAUGUUGGGUUAAGUCCCGCAACGAGCGCAACCCUUGUCAUUAGUUGCUACAUUUAGUUGGGCACUCUAAUGAGACUGCCGGUGACAAACCGGAGGAAGGUGGGGAUGACGUCAAGUCCUCAUGGCCCUUAUAGGUGGGGCUACACACGUCAUACAAUGGCUGGUACAAAGGGUUGCCAACCCGCGAGGGGGAGCUAAUCCCAUAAAACCAGUCGUAGUCCGGAUCGCAGUCUGCAACUCGACUGCGUGAAGUCGGAAUCGCUAGUAAUCGUGGAUCAGAAUGUCACGGUGAAUACGUUCCCGGGUCUUGUACACACCGCCCGUCACACCAUGGGAGCGGGUUCUGCCAGAAGUAGUUAGCUUAACCGACAAGGAGGGCGAUUACUCACGGCAGC
This 2062-nucleotide ribosomal RNA is filed under the name uncultured bacterium. RNAcentral's name for it is "partial 16S ribosomal RNA". The stretch from base 1 to 1391 matches the Rfam family "Bacterial small subunit ribosomal RNA". The record is from RNAcentral.